This 68-nucleotide transfer RNA is filed under the name Marmota monax (woodchuck). Its description in RNAcentral is "tRNA.Ala". The record is from RNAcentral. Lineage: Eukaryota; Metazoa; Chordata; Mammalia; Rodentia; Sciuridae.
GGUUGGUGGCUUAGUGGCAGAGCGCUUGCCUUGCACAUGUGACGCACUGGGUUCGAUCCUCAGCACCA